AUGCAUGAACCAAUAAGACGACAUUUGUUGAGAGCUCACCAAUGUCAAAAGACCCAGGUUGACAAACAGAGAGCUGAACGCAGUUUUGCUAUUGGAGAUAAGGUCUUUGUAAAAAUGCAACCUUAUGUUCAAUCAUUUGUGGUUCAUCGUGUAAAUCAUAAACUUGCAUUCAAAUUUCAUGGUCUUUAUUUGACUAUUGCCACGAUUGGUGACAUUGCUUACAUGCUGGAAUUACCAGAUUCUAGCAGAAUACAUCCAGACUUUCAUGUUCUCCAAUUGGAGAAGUAUAUUCUACUUGUGACUCAAGUUCAGACAUCUUUACCUCAUGUUGAUGAUGAAUUUCAAAUUCCUCUCAAAUUUCUCCGUCGCAGGGUUCAUCAUGUGGGCUCGAAGACUAUUCCUCGGGUUCUUGUUGAGUGGUCUUGUUCUCCUUCUGCUGAUGUAAGACGAGGAUUCAUUGAAGGAAACAUUUCCUUGUUCUAUGGCUUGGAGACAAGCCACUUCUCAAGAACCAUGGGGUGA
RNAcentral lists this ribosomal RNA (522 nucleotides) under Triticum aestivum (bread wheat). RNAcentral's name for it is "partial small subunit ribosomal RNA". Lineage: Eukaryota; Viridiplantae; Streptophyta; Magnoliopsida; Poales; Poaceae. The record is from RNAcentral.